UUCAUUUAUCUUUCCUCUCAGUCGAUUACAAAGAAAUUAUUUUUAUAUAAUUUCUAUCCAAGUCUUUGAAAGAAAAAAUUUGUACGUCUUAGAUAACGUUCAUAACAAUCACUGAGUCAUGUAAAGGUUAAUGAGUAAAUGUAAAUAUAUAGAUAUCGAUUUUGACCUUGUUUACUUUGUUCGUGUAUUUACGUAGAACUUUAUUCUCAUAUAUAUACAUUUACAAAGAGUAUUAAAUACAAUCUUAGUACGUCCUUCGAAUUUAGUUCAACGGGAACAACCAAAGAGGAAGGAUCUCCCGACAGAAGAGAAGUUCAUUUACAUUUGUGAGUAGAAAAAUUCCAAGAUAUAAAUUCAGUGUGACGCAGACAAGAUCCACAUAUCUCUUUGUUUACUCGUGACCUUCUCGUAUAUGCGUACCUAUCGUCCUAGCACAAUCAUUCCGUCUUCUGCUGUUGGUGCGUCAACUACGAAUUCGAUCUGUCUCGCUUCCUUCUUUUCGUAAUUAUUUUAGCAGAGUGGAAACAAGAAACCUAUUUUUUACGUCGUCCGUUUCAGUGGAGUUAUGAAAAAAAGAAAAAAGAAGAAAACGAGUCUUUGUGAAACCCGAAUAAAACCUAAGAGUUAAAGGACACUUAUUUUAAAAAAAUCUUAAGUAUAGUUUUACAAAGGCAUUUUAAUUUAAGGAUUUUAAUAUACCUGCGUUUCGUUUAGAAUUACAAUGAUGAAGUAAAAGAAUGAUACUUUUUUUUUACUAUUUUAUAAGUUCUUUCAUUAUUUCUUUUUUUUUACAAUACCGAUCUAAUUCAUUCAUCUUAAAAUUUUUAUUUCGAUAUUUAUUUCGUAUGCAAAAUAUUUGUUAAAUUUUCUUCCUUAUUAUUUUCUAAUUUAGAUAAAGGAUAUAGCAAGAACGUUUACGAACAAUUGACGAAAGCUUUUAUGUAACAUUUUCACAAAAAUGAGAGAAUGUGAGAGGACGUGAUAAAGAUUUCACGAAUCCCUUUUGAAAUUAAUGAGGCGAACAAGAGAGCGAUAGGAGCAGCUAGAAUACGUUGAGAUAAGAAUAUUCCAGGGUUGUCCUAUAUUACGAUUGUAUCGUAUCUCUUUUUAAGAUAGUUGGAACAAGUUAUAAGCGAUUCUGUACGUCAAAGAGUACCGAAAGAAAUAUUAUAUUUGUCAAAUUUCA
Long non-coding RNA from Vespula vulgaris, 1186 nucleotides. RefSeq lists it as uncharacterized. NCBI's taxonomy places the organism in Eukaryota, Metazoa, Arthropoda, Insecta, Hymenoptera, Vespidae. The record is from RefSeq and is a predicted model, not a curated record. The transcript has 3 exons.